CCUGAUGCAGCAAUGGUUAUAGUGCUCGGCUGCUAACUGAGAGGUUGGUGGUUCAAACCCACCCAGUAGCU
RNAcentral lists this transfer RNA (71 nucleotides) under Loxodonta africana (African savanna elephant). It matches the Rfam family "tRNA". Rfam says of the family: Transfer RNA (tRNA) molecules are approximately 80 nucleotides in length. Their secondary structure includes four short double-helical elements and three loops (D, anti-codon, and T loops). The record is from Rfam by way of RNAcentral. Lineage: Eukaryota; Metazoa; Chordata; Mammalia; Proboscidea; Elephantidae.